RNAcentral lists this ribosomal RNA (447 nucleotides) under uncultured bacterium. Its description in RNAcentral is "partial 16S ribosomal RNA". It matches the Rfam family "Bacterial small subunit ribosomal RNA", at positions 331 to 794 of the family's 1533-position model. The record is from RNAcentral.
CCAGACUCCUACGGGAGGCAGCAGUGGGGAAUAUUGCACAAUGGGGGAAACCCUGAUGCAGCAACGCCGCGUGAGUGAGGAAGUAUUUCGGUAUGUAAAGCUCUAUCAGCAGGGAAUAGAAAAGAAGGUACCUGAAAAAGAAGCCCCGGCUAACUACGUGCCAGCAGCCGCGGUAAUACGUAGGGGGCAAGCGUUAUCCGGAUUUACUGGGUGUAAAGGGAGCGUAGACGGAAAGGCAAGUCAGAAGUGAAAGCCCAAGGCUCAACCAUGGGACUGCUUUUGAAACUGUCAAACUAGAGUAAGGGAGAGGUAAGAGGAAUUCCUAGUGUAGCGGUGAAAUGCGUAGAUAUUAGGAGGAACACCAGUGGAGAAGGCGUCUUAACGGAAAGAAACUGACGUUGAGGCUCGAAAGCGUGGGGAGCAAACAGGAUUAGAUACCCGCGUAUA